This 253-nucleotide ribosomal RNA is filed under the name uncultured bacterium. RNAcentral's name for it is "partial 16S ribosomal RNA". It matches the Rfam family "Bacterial small subunit ribosomal RNA", at positions 524 to 776 of the family's 1533-position model. The record is from RNAcentral.
UACGGAGGGGGCUAGCGUUGUUCGGAAUUACUGGGCGUAAAGCGCGCGCAGGCGGUCUUCCAAGUCAGUGGUGAAAGCCCGGAGCUCAACUCCGGAAAUGCCAUUGAAACUGUGAGACUUGAGGAUGAGAGAGGUGAGUGGAAUUCCCAGUGUAGAGGUGAAAUUCGUAGAUAUUGGGAAGAACACCGGUGGCGAAGGCGGCUCACUGGCUCAUUUCUGACGCUCAGGCGCGACAGCGUGGGGAGCAAACAGG